CAGUAGCCGCGGUAAUACGAAGGGGGCUAGCGUUGUUCGGAUUUACUGGGCGUAAAGCGCGUGUAGGCGGGCCGCCACGUCGGUUGCUGAAAUCCCCCGGCUCAACCGGGGAAGUGGCAUCGAUACGAGCGGCCUUGAGGGGGGUAGGGGGAUCUGGAACUUCCGGUGGAGCGGUGAAAUGCGUUGAGAUCGGAAGGAACGCCCGUGGCGAAAGCGAGGUCCUGGACCCUUUCUGACGCUGAGACGCGAAAGCCAGGGGAGCAAACAGGAUUAGAUACCCGCGUAGUCCCUGUCUCUUAUA
RNAcentral lists this ribosomal RNA (301 nucleotides) under uncultured bacterium. RNAcentral's name for it is "partial 16S ribosomal RNA". It matches the Rfam family "Bacterial small subunit ribosomal RNA", at positions 509 to 807 of the family's 1533-position model. The record is from RNAcentral.